CCGAUUAAUUUCCAAGUCUUGUGUUAUUCGAAAUACUCGGGCACCGAGCUUAAAGCUUAAAAUCCCAAUGAAACCGAUCUUGGAUACUAAUCUAUCCAUGUUGACCAUGGUAGUCUAUGCACAAUUUGAAACAAAAUAAAAAGAAAAAUCUACGUAGCUUCUUAAUCGCGUUUCUCUCGAAGCGUAACUCCCCACUUAACGCGACGUCGUCAUCACGAGGACCGUCACCGACCGAUUACGUUGCACGAUGACAGCGUGAACGUAACGAUCAUGUAUUCGGUACGCGGCAGCACUCGAGUUCCCACAAGAAAAACGGAGCUUUUGCAACGCGAGCGAAAUCGGCCGGUUAGUCGACUGGCUGGCUGUGUUGGCUGGUCGUUCAGCAGCUGCAGAAAAGCGUAUCGCGUUCUCCACGAGGUGUCUUGCUUUGCCGGGAUUUUAUCGCGUGGCCCCCUUCGUGGCGUUAUACCCUGUGCUCGCUCUGUUCGCUCUGGUGCACGCGCACGAGCCGCCGCUGCCCUCUCUGUCUUACUGUGAUCUAGGCUAACCGCGUUCGUCGUUCCUCGUAAGUAGGAGCAUAACCCCAUCGCUGUAACGUACCACGGUACCAUCGUCAUCUCGAGUAUCGCUACUGCCGUGCCACCAAUACGCUGCAGCGUGACAAGCACUUCCAACCACACGCUCCUUCCUUCGUUAUCGAGUAACGAAGCGUUCGAACAUCGAAUUUAAAGGUACAAAAUGAAAGGAGAAAACAGGAUUACUCUUCCGUAGCAAACUACAUGAGCUCGUUGCAACAUCCAUAACAAGCAGAGCAGGAUACGAGAGAGCUUCUGAGAGAUUCAGUAAUCAGUCGCAACAUUGUUGCCCGGUUUCGGGCAGAAAACCAGCGAGAAAGUACAGAAGAAGGAAUCGAGGCCACUUGUCGAAUGGAGAUCAACUUUUCGAUGGAAUUCGAAAUCCCAACUCGACCAGUGAGAGAAUCGUAUUGCCAGCAGCAUCUCUCCCGAUACGAUCGAAAGAUCGACCAGCCGUAAAAUCAAAUUAAUCGUACGAUCACGCGUGCCAACUACUCUCUGUGUACAUGCAAGUAUACGCGACCACAUGGGUGAUUCACGCUGGUGUGCGUCCGCGUGUGGGUGUGGUCCGUUGUGUUACGUGACCUCGUGGUUGUCGUAUGGCUGAAUAGGCUCGUCAAUGGCUCGUUUCAUUGAAUUAAAUAGGCCAUUCGUGCACGAGCAUAAUUACCGAACGGCAACAGAAAGAGAAAGAAAAGAAAUUUAUAUGAGAUCGUCUCUGAACUAAACGAACGAAACGAUUUCGAUUAUCCUGUUUUGGGAUGGAUUUUAAGGUCAAUACGCGUGUGAAAGAUACGCGGGUUGGAAUGUGGUAAAAAGGCGAAGGAAAUAAAUAUUCUGAAAAGUGGGUAAGAAAUCGUUCGCUUAGAGAUUCUGUUGAUCGACCGUAAUGAGGACUGCGAAAAGAGAAAAAGAAGAACUGCUGAUUACACGUUUCAACAUCGAUUGUUGCGUAAAGCGAGGCGUCUGUUGGCAAACCGGCGCGAUCGUGGAACCGUAUUGUUGUACGAGGCUGUUCUACAUUUUUGGAGAACGAAUUAGGUUACUGGUCGAUACUAUCACGUUCGAUCGCGAAUGAUUUUGUACUGUAUUUGAUAUUAGAACUAACCACAGCUAUGAUAUAUAUAUACAUGUAUAUAUAUUGUUUGAAAAUUUUUCGAUGAAAAUUGUGUAUAAUUUUUAGACAAAUUUCUCCGGCACGUUAUAUAAUUUUAGCAAGAAAAUUAAACGAGGGAAAUUCGCAGAAAGCGCGGAGCAAACGUUGAAACGACAUAACGAGCGGAUUACUCGAGCAAAAGUGCGAACAGCAAAUGUUUAAUGCUACCCAAGGCAUUUAAAUGGUUAAUCUCGCGCGCCGUUCCGGAAAUAUUUCUCACAAAAGGCGAGUUAACUCGUCGUCGUGUCCAAGCCCACGUUUAAAAGGUUAAACGUGUACACUGCACGAAUUCUGGAAAUUUCAUUGCUCGACGAUGAGAGAUGAUGAACUUAUUAUCCGUGUAAUUACCCAGAAAACAUAAAUCGUCGAAUCGCAAAGAGAAUCGUUACUCGCCGUAAAACCAACGAAGAACAAAUGAAAUAAAGACGUUUAUUACUUGCGAUAAUCUCUAUUUGCAGAUCGUAAAAAUUGUUAUGAAUUCUGUAUGAAUUUCCGUAGAUAUUUUUAUCUUGAUGUCCAAAACGAAAUUUUUUAUAUUUUAACAAAAUUCUCGUGAAACAAACAGAAAGAUAUACGACACGAACAAAUUCUGCACCGUAUAACCGUUUUCGUUCGUAAUCUGACUCCAUUAUCGUACUUGAUCUACGGAACCUGUAUGAGACCGGUAGGUGUCUCAUACAAUACUUAUGAUUAAGACAUCUAAUACUUCUGAAGAGGGGUGUACGCUUGCUCCAAAUCGCAAGUAGAAUGCGUUUGCGACGUCGUCGCCCCGCGAUAAGUGGACCGAGACCAAGUCCUGUCUCGUCACAGUGAGUCUUUUGUACAUGGCUCCACGAUCUGUCGGAUAACAAGUAGCCGUGUUUUUACAUAUUAAUCAUUAAUGACGAUCGUAAUUGUAGCCUGUUGAACCAUCGGUCGUCAUUCUAUCGAUGAAAUAGAGAACUGUAAUAGCGAAUAGUCGAGCACAACUGGUAAUUCUAUAAAUUUUGAAAAUCAUAUUUAUUUCACAAAUCUUAUAUUUGUUAUCGAUACUCGGUAGGAUUAGUAAUGAGAUUAAGAAUAGAUUACGUUUCCUCCGGUGAUAAUAAUAAUAACAAUAAACUGUAUACUCUGAUGUCUGCUUUGUCACAAUUCCAUAAAUAUCAUAGAGUCUAUAUAUUUAGAAUUUAUUGGAAUUAGGAACCUGAUUUUCUCCGAAAU
Molecule: long non-coding RNA, 2931 nt
Organism: Bombus impatiens (common eastern bumble bee)
Lineage: Eukaryota; Metazoa; Arthropoda; Insecta; Hymenoptera; Apidae
Exons: 3
Source: RefSeq, a predicted model, not a curated record